GGGAUUUUGUGGUUUGAGGGCAUUGGGAGUGGGCGGAACGGGCAAAACUCAGUCAGUUCGUUCAUUCGUUAGUGAACCCAUCCAAUCUGAUCGGGUUUUCCCGGCUCCGCCCAUUCCUACAGUCCUCACUACGCAUCCC
Molecule: microRNA precursor, 139 nt
Filed under: Picea abies (Norway spruce)
Lineage: Eukaryota; Viridiplantae; Streptophyta; Pinopsida; Pinales; Pinaceae
Description: miR482p stem-loop (pab-MIR482p)
Gene: pab-MIR482p
Source: miRBase by way of RNAcentral